This 62-nucleotide non-coding RNA is filed under the name human gut metagenome. The record is from RNAcentral.
UAACAACGAAUGAUAAGAAGUCAGCAGACGUCAUAGUACCCUACGAGUAACGGGGGAAGGAC